This 84-nucleotide long non-coding RNA is filed under the name Anser cygnoides (Swan goose). RNAcentral's name for it is "lncRNA (ENSACDG00005002958.1)". Lineage: Eukaryota; Metazoa; Chordata; Aves; Anseriformes; Anatidae. The record is from RNAcentral.
UCUGCCUAGUAAGCUGAUGGCUCAAUAAGAGUGCUUUUUCCAGCUGGCACUGGCACAACUCCCCAGAAACAGGUAAUUAGAGUG